RNAcentral lists this long non-coding RNA (2139 nucleotides) under Mus musculus (house mouse). Its description in RNAcentral is "small nucleolar RNA host gene 17". The stretch from base 1364 to 1494 matches the Rfam family "Small nucleolar RNA SNORA71". Lineage: Eukaryota; Metazoa; Chordata; Mammalia; Rodentia; Muridae. The record is from RNAcentral.
GUUCUUCCGCCAGCGCCCAUCGUGAAGACCACAGUUUCCUGUCGCGUGGAUGUGUUUCCUCUCUGGCCAUUGCCAUCCGCCCAAAUCUACAGACAUCCCGCAUGUUCCCGGGCUCGUCUCCCCAAUACAGGGCACCAAGGCUGUAGACUGCGCAGCCCUCCUGGAGACAGAUGGAAGCUCCUUGGGUCGACAGAUUACAGCUUCUGGAACCCCCUACUCCCUUCAACUCCGAGAUGGACACCCACUGUCCAGGGAGAGGAUGCCUGGAAAUAACAGCUGGGAUCUACAGUGGCCAAAGAGUUGUCUCCGUCUUGCUACAUCGACAAACUGGUGCUCCUGAGUGAGGAUUGUGCCCUGGGAUGGGGGAUUCAGUUUCUUCAUUUAUAGUUGGAAGUGGGUGAAGCCACUUCGGAAGCGUUUUCCUCUCCACUCUGACAACAGGCAAGAGUGAGGGUCCAACAAUACAGAGGAAGUAACGUGUCGCUGCUACUCUUCCAUGCCCAGUGCCAGGAGCGACGGUACACUCCAGAGUGCUGUGCCCUGAUGGGCCUUUGAGUGGCCAGUGCAGUGGAUCAUCAGCCCUGUCUCCCAAGAGCUCCAGUCCCUUCUCCGGAGAGGAAGUGGGUCCACUGGCAGCUCAGGAGGCCAUAGCAGGAUUGUCACGUGUGCUCAACAGUCCUCCUCGGCUUUCCAGAAGAGGCUGGAACAGGGCCCUUGAAGGUAUGACUCCAGAUGCCUCACUAGAGAGCUGCAGAGGUCCAGCAAAGGCCCACAGUCAUGAAGAAAAGCUGAGGCUGCUUCCCCACCCGGGCCAGCGGGAACAUGGCUCCUCCAGCCCCUGACACCUCACUUCCCCACAUCUUCAUAGUGUGAAGUAAAGAGCUACACUAGGGUCACAGGAGCCCCUGGGAACCUGCAUGGCUUCAUUGGGUUCUGCAGUUGGCUUGAGAAUGGCUACAAUUGGGGUGCAGUUAGCCUUCUCUGAACUUCUCUGAACUCUGGGCACUUGUUAGGGAGCAGUCCCGUCCCAGACUCAUGAGGACUCGUGAGUCCUCAGAAGUUAACCCCCCCCCCAACUUGUCUUUUUUCAUUCAUUGUCUUAGUAAGAGGCCACUGAAGUAAUGGUUCUCAAAUUGUGGUCUCUGAAGCAACACUACCACCAUCCCUUGGAGUGUGUGAGAGUGGUCCUGCCUGCAGGCAGCAGUAUUUAGCAGCUCUCCAGGGGAUUCAUGGUUGAGAAGAUUGGAGAGUUGGGAAGCUACCUCUGUUACAGGCUGUAAAUAUGGUCACUGUUUCCUGGUCACUUGUCCCAGUUUGGCCCUUUCCUAAGCUGCCCAUCCAUCCAUUGUAGCUUCCCUCCUGCCCCUGUAUUCGAAAGUGAUUGUGGGCUGCCGGUGCCCUGGUCAUUGAUACUGCAGGGAGAGGAUGCCGAAAGCCUUUCCCCGUGUUUGGAGGAUCACACUUGUCCUUGCCAAACCCUGGUGCUUUCGAACAAUCUUCCUUCUCCCAGCCUAGUGGUCUCUCAGUUGCAGAUACCAGGCUCAUUUAGAGUCCUCUGCCAGUGCCGGGCAGUGUCCUAAGAGGACAUUAUUCUGGCUCAGUUUUGCAAAUAUCCCAUGAGCCCCAGUCACAUCCUCCUUCCAUGGCUGUGGAUUCGAGGCCUGCAGACAGACAUCUGUCUGGUAGAUGGGUGGCAUGUUCCCACAUGCAGUGUCAGGAGGAGAGUAAACUUGGCUAACAGGGAUGCUGGUCCCUGAGCCUGUCUAGCUCUGACCUGUUGUUACCAGCUUCCAGUUAGCUAACAGUGCCCGAAGCUACGUGAUGAUAUGGUGGAGAUAAGAAAGCAUCAUGAUCCCCCUCCCCUUUAAUUUUCUAGAUGUUUGUGGACAUCAGAGGGCCAAAGACGACACAAAGUGAAACUGGAGACACCGCCCCCCCUUGGCAUCAUGAAACUGCCGAUGUUACUGGCUCAUGCAUGGGAGACACCAGCAUACAAAGUCUUGACACCAACACCUCAGAGGGCUGUGUUCUGUCCCCGUGACCAUCAUCUAGUGCCUGGAAAGACUAGUGACAAGAACUUGUUGCCAACUUCCUAUUACCUCCCUAACAGUUGUGCAAUAAACCCCAUAGGUUAAUUCA